Molecule: RNA transcript, 3143 nt
Organism: Gigantopelta aegis
Lineage: Eukaryota; Metazoa; Mollusca; Gastropoda; Neomphalida; Peltospiridae
Gene name: carcinoembryonic antigen-related cell adhesion molecule 5-like
Exons: 2
Source: RefSeq, a predicted model, not a curated record
AAUGUUUUAAAGACUAUAUAUGUGGCAACCUGUAAUCAGCGGUCACUUGUAUCUACUUCCUUGUGUGACCGCUUAAGACAGGUUUGACUGUAUUAUGCUAUUGGUUAUAAAAACUUAAAGUAAUUAAAAAAAACCUUGAAUUUGAACUUGUGGCCAAUACAAAUAUGUCAUAUUAACCCAGUUCUAUGAAAUAUUAUAUAAAAAUUCAAGAUUGCCACCAUGAAUCUACUGAAAUAGGAAAUGUAAUACAUUCACAAUAUUAGUAGCUAGGCUAUUCCUGUUUCUUAUUAUGACAAAGUUGAUAUAUUAUUGGUCUGCAAUGUUUUUAGCAGUCAAUUGUACAUACAAUUAACAUAAAUGCAGAAAUUACCAAUACAUGAAAAACUCAAUAUUACCAGAUGCCAUUAUUUUAUGACAUUUGAUAUAAAUAAGUGUGUCUAAUCGUUGAAUAUAAAAAAUAGUAAUUGUUACAGCUAUGUUUCCUCUGUUUCAUUUGACACAAACUUGGGACCAACCUGCCAUAACUUUGUGAAUUGAAUCUAUAUGGUAAUGGACAUAUUUUGAUAUUUAAAGGAUAAGCAAUGGAAAUAUCAACUGGCAACAUUUCUUAAAUUCAGCAACCUCAAAUUAUUUAAGAUGAACUUCAGGUACAAAAUGUAUCAAAUGUUUUUAUAACGCAUAUCUAGUACAUAUUGGAGCAAUGUAGGAGGCUUUCUACAAGGUUUGUGUCAAGAAGUAAUGAAACUAGUCUUAGUUUUUUUCAAGUCACUGUGCUAGCGCAUCAUCAAAGUUAUACGACUGAGUUAUAACCUCCAUUGCAGAAUUAUCUCCCCUUGCCGGAUGUCUAUAGUACUAGCAUGCAUGAGCAGUCAUUGAUUGCGGUCGUGUUUUAGUGUGCAAUUAUAAAAAUGUUUCUUUGUUUAUUAAAUUGUAAAGUGUUCGUAAUUUCUUCUCGCAUUCUGAUUCCAUUAACUACUUCAUAUGAGGUCGGUUUAAGGGUUGUGCUCGGGUUUUAUGAUGUCGGACACGGCUUCCUCCAGCUCUAACUGGCUGGUUGGUUAUGCCGAAGGCGGGUGUCUUAAAGAGUUGCCACAUUGCUGUGUUGUGCUCUCCCUUCACAUGGAGGAAGUUUAAGAAACUGUCUCGCGACGCUGAGCGCAAAACAAUGCUGAGGAAGGAAGGGGCUGACCAUAGUGUGGAUGCGACUUCUGGGGUCGUUCUCAAGUCUGAUUUGCUGGCAGCGCAGGGGCGCCUCCUCAUCAGUCCGCCAAAGUUAUGGCUAUGCCGGUAAAACGUAAUUGAAUAUGGUCCACAGAAUGUUGCACUCGACCCUGCGUCUCCUGGGAAUGUCACAGAAGGAGACAGUCUAAAUGUGAGCUGCACGGCACAGUGUAACCCGUCACCAUGUUCCUUCUCAUGGGCACUUGGAAAUAACGGAGUCUUGCCAGGGGCUCUAUUACCACUCCCAGACAUCAGCAUCAAUAAGAACGGAAGUGUGUACACGUGUACAGUUAACAAUACUGCUAUACCACGUUCUACAACAAUACAGUUCACCCUAACCGUCAAGCCUAAAAGUAAUUAUUAUAUUACACUUAUUAAUUGAUAACCCUCAAUACUGCCAUACCCAACUCCACAAUACAGUCCACGCUAAUUGUCAGCAGUAAAUGUAAGUGUUAUAUCAACUUAAUAAGUAUUAAACUUAAAAGAGUCUGGUGUAUUUCAGGUCCAUAUAGAUUUACAAUGACGGACAUUGUUUGAUACAUUAUAUUAUGUGUAGUAUAUUUUGCUUGUAACAUGCUGGAUGUUGAAAUGCCCAACAUGUACAUUAUAUGUAUGCAGAGCAAAAGAUACAUCUACAAGUUGCAACCCUGGCAAUUGCUGUGGUGGUUUCAGUAUUAAUUUGUUUUAAUACUCUCGCCCAGUCAUCAAGAAGAUAUAGUGGCUUGCCCGUACGUAACACAACAUCAUCACCGAUCUAGUGAUUUUAUCAUGAUUCUAUUCCAGCAUCAAAGGUCAAGGUCACAAUUACUAAAAAUAGAAAUAUGACAUAAUCGCUUUAGCUACUUCGUUUGUUAACCAAUUUUCAUGAAAUAUAAACUUCAACUCUAAGAAUAGUAUCAUGAUAUAUUUGCAGUUUUUAGUGUCUCGUUGUUAUUUGUUUUAAAGUUCUUUGGGGUGGAGUAUAAUUUGCACAAAUUAACUCAGUGCUUACAUGUUAUCCACAACUACUGCGAAAAAUGCUGUAGAUGUUAUGUGGUUGUUAUUUGUUUGGGACGCAUGCAUGUUGACUCGGGUCUAUCACAUGGAUAUUAUCGACUGCCAAGUUCCAUCAGGUAAAUUGCAACCAAAACUGAGUACAAAAGCAGGGGUGCACCAAAUGUUGAAAGAUACUAUUAUAUUGUACAAAUAGAAAUACUUCUUUUUUCUUUUCUUUUUUGAUUUAGUGAAACCCAUCUAAACAUUAUAUCCAUGGGCCAAAUUGAGCGCAAUUGAUCUAAAAGGUAUGGUUUCGAUUGAGGUAAAAGUCUGUGUUGUAUUCUCUUCAUCAUUAAAUAGGCAAAGAACAGCUACAACUAAUUAUGGAUGAAAUAAUGCAAUUUCUAAGCACUUAGAUUGGGGGUGGGGCGUUUCGUUAUUAAACAAGUUGACGUUCCGUUGGACCUUCUGACAUGCUGCAAUUUCAUUUGGAAAUGAAACACAGUUGAUAUCUUUCCCCGGAGCCAAGUUCAAAAAUUAAUUUAAUUAAAUAUACGUUUAAAAAAUUACAACAGAAAAAUAAAAUUCAUUACUGCCCCGUCACUGGCAUACAUACAUUGACUGCGACAAAAUAUCAACGAAUUCCAAUCUCGUUCCAAACUGAAAUAACUUUAUAAUAACAAAGCACCUAAUAUUAAAUAAUACACAUCAAUAGAAAGAAAAAAAAGAGUCCAGAAUGUGUUGAUGAAUUGUGUCGUGGUGGGGGUGGGGGGGGGGGGGAUGGGGGGGGGGGGGUAUUUUUUUUUACAGACUCACUUUCGCGUCUCCAAGCUUUACAGUACAUGAACUUGGAGCAUUCCUUAGUUGGGAUGGUGAUACGAAAGUGUGUCUUUUUAGCAAUUGCUAAUAAAGAUGUUAUAUUUUUGGGGUACCCAGCCUUGUUGGCA